CUCCCAACUGUUCUGAACUCCAGUUCCAGGUGAGACUCUGGGGACCCAGACUCAUACGGGGAGAAACUGGACUGUCUGGCAGCAGGCGAAA
This 91-nucleotide microRNA precursor is filed under the name Eptesicus fuscus (big brown bat). RNAcentral describes it as "microRNA efu-mir-9230a precursor". It matches the Rfam family "mir-9230 microRNA precursor family". Lineage: Eukaryota; Metazoa; Chordata; Mammalia; Chiroptera; Vespertilionidae. The record is from miRBase by way of RNAcentral.